UACGUAGGGUGCGAGCGUUAAUCGGAAUUACUGGGCGUAAAGCGUGCGCAGGCGGCUUUGCAAGACAGAUGUGAAAUCCCCGGGCUCAACCUGGGAACUGCAUUUGUGACUGCAAGGCUAGAGUACGGCAGAGGGGGAUGGAAUUCCGCGUGUAGCAGUGAAAUGCGUAGAUAUGCGGAGGAACACCAAUGGCGAAGGCAAUCCCCUGGGCCUGUACUGACGCUCAUGCACGAAAGCAUGGGUAGCGAACAGG
This 253-nucleotide ribosomal RNA is filed under the name uncultured bacterium. RNAcentral describes it as "partial 16S ribosomal RNA". It matches the Rfam family "Bacterial small subunit ribosomal RNA", at positions 524 to 776 of the family's 1533-position model. The record is from RNAcentral.